RNAcentral lists this small RNA (54 nucleotides) under Caenorhabditis elegans. RNAcentral describes it as "Unclassified non-coding RNA Y18D10A.29". The record is from RNAcentral. Lineage: Eukaryota; Metazoa; Nematoda; Chromadorea; Rhabditida; Rhabditidae.
ACCAAUCAGAUGAAGUGGGCGGAGUUCGAUGUCGUUGAUUGAUCGAUUGGGGAG